UAAUUAUCUCUCCAGUCAUGUGAAGCAGAGGAUUGUAGGUCCGGGUAAAUUAAGCAGCUAAAGGUCUAUACAUAUAUUCACAAAAGAAUUGAUCGAAAGAUAGAAGGUGAUUCAAUCAGAGAGUACAACCACAGAACACAAAGAAGUAGCAAAGCAUGGCAACUAAAGCCACGGAUUCCAACAUCGUAACAAAAGUCCAUACCACAUCAUCGAUGGAGAAAUCGAACAACCGGAAGCUCUGUAGGCUCCACCCCGUUGUGAAAUACGAAAAAUCAAACUCCGGCCACCGAAAGAUUGAUGUCGGCAGUGAAAAUCCGAGUUCCGGCCAUCGAAAAGCCGGCGCAUACCACCUUGUACACAUAUCCCGUUCAGUGACCUCUCUUUCUCUGCACUCCAAUGGAGCAAAUUAACGGUUAUGCGAUACUCUCCGGUAAUGUCAGAAAUAUGG
RNAcentral lists this unclassified non-coding RNA (448 nucleotides) under Hevea brasiliensis (rubber tree). Lineage: Eukaryota; Viridiplantae; Streptophyta; Magnoliopsida; Malpighiales; Euphorbiaceae. The record is from RNAcentral.